RNAcentral lists this ribosomal RNA (482 nucleotides) under uncultured bacterium. Its description in RNAcentral is "partial 16S ribosomal RNA". It matches the Rfam family "Bacterial small subunit ribosomal RNA", at positions 30 to 507 of the family's 1533-position model. The record is from RNAcentral.
AUUGAACGCUGGCAGCAUGCUUUACACAUGCAAGUCGAACGGUAACAGGCCGCAAGGUGCUGACGAGUGGCGAACGGGUGCGUAAUGCAUCGGAACGUGCCCAGUCGUGGGGGAUAACUACUCGAAAGAGUAGCUAAUACCGCAUACGAUCUAUGGAUGAAAGCGGGGGACCGUAAGGCCUCGCGCGAUUGGAGCGGCCGAUGUCAGAUUAGGUAGUUGGUGGGGUAAAGGCUCACCAAGCCAACGAUCUGUAGCUGGUCUGAGAGGACGACCAGCCACACUGGGACUGAGACACGGCCCAGACUCCUACGGGAGGCAGCAGUGGGGAAUUUUGGACAAUGGGCGCAAGCCUGAUCCAGCAAUGCCGCGUGCAGGAAGAAGGCCUUCGGGUUGUAAACUGCUUUUGUACGGAACGAAACGGCUCUGGUUAAUACCCGGGGCUAAUGACGGUACCGUAAGAAUAAGCACCGGCUAACUACGUG